GAACGCGAAGAACCUUACCUGGUCUUGACAUCCAUGGAAUCCCGCAGAGAUGUGGGAGUGCCGUAAGGAACCAUGAGACAGGUGCUGCAUGGCUGUCGUCAGCUCGUGUCGUGAGAUGUUGGGUUAAGUCCCGCAACGAGCGCAACCCCCGUGUCCUGUUGCCAGCGCGUAAUGGCGGGAACUCUGGACAGACUGCCUAGUUCAACUGGGAGGAAGGUGGGGACGACGUCAGGUCAGUAUGGCCCUUACGCCUUGGGCUGCACACGUACUACAAUGCCCAGCACAAUGAGAACCGAUGCCGCGAGGUGGAGGAAAUCUGUAAAACUGGGCUCAGUUCGGAUUGGAGGCUGCAACUCGCCUCCAUGAAGUUGGAAUCGCUAGUAAUGGGGCAUCAUCUACGGCCCCGUGAAUACGUUCCCGGGUCUUGUACACACGC
This 436-nucleotide ribosomal RNA is filed under the name uncultured soil bacterium. Its description in RNAcentral is "bacterial SSU rRNA". It matches the Rfam family "Bacterial small subunit ribosomal RNA", at positions 957 to 1393 of the family's 1533-position model. The record is from RNAcentral.